UACAGAGGGUGCGAGCGUUGUCCGGAAUCACUGGGCGUAAAGGGCGCGUAGGCGGCUUGCUAAGUAGGGGGUGAAAUCUCGCGGCUCAACCGCGGGGCUGCCUUCUAAACUGGCGGGCUCGAGCACAGUAGAGGCAGGUGGAAUUCCCGGUGUAGCGGUGGAAUGCGUAGAGAUCGGGAAGAACAUCGGUGGCGAAGGCGGCCUGCUGGGCUGUUGCUGACGCUGAGGCGCGACAGCGUGGGGAGCAAACAGG
This 253-nucleotide ribosomal RNA is filed under the name uncultured bacterium. Its description in RNAcentral is "partial 16S ribosomal RNA". It matches the Rfam family "Bacterial small subunit ribosomal RNA", at positions 524 to 776 of the family's 1533-position model. The record is from RNAcentral.